CCUACGGGAGGCAGCAAUUAGGAAUCUUGCACAAUGGACGAAAGUCUGAUGCAGCGACGCCGCGUGAGGGACGAAGGCCUUCGGGUUGUAAACUUCAUCAAAGCACCGGCUAACUACGUGCCAGCAGCAGCGGUCAUACGUAGGGUGCAAGCGUUACCCGGUCUUACUGGGCGUAAAGAGUUCUGUAGGCGGAUAUAUAAGUUCGGGGUUAAAGACCCCCGCUCAACGGGGGGAAAGCUUUGAAUACUGUAUAUCUAGGAGGCGGUUAGGGGAUAGCGGAACGUAAGGUGUAGCAGUGAAAUGCGUUGAUAUCUUACGGAACACCGAGGGGGAAGCCAGCUAUCUGGAGCCGUCCUGACGCUGAGAGACGAAAGCGUGGGGAGCGAAACGGAUUAGAUACCCUUGUAGUC
RNAcentral lists this ribosomal RNA (410 nucleotides) under uncultured candidate division WWE3 bacterium. RNAcentral's name for it is "bacterial SSU rRNA". It matches the Rfam family "Bacterial small subunit ribosomal RNA", at positions 338 to 795 of the family's 1533-position model. Lineage: Bacteria; candidate division WWE3. The record is from RNAcentral.